Molecule: unclassified non-coding RNA, 4425 nt
Filed under: Leishmania donovani
Lineage: Eukaryota; Euglenozoa; Kinetoplastea; Trypanosomatida; Trypanosomatidae
Description: gene:LdHU3.08.1740(CDS-product:protein_kinase_put ative)
Source: RNAcentral
AGUUUCGACCCGUCUCCUGUCUCCUCCCAAUACGUACUGACACACGCACCCUCACACACCUACUUGCUCCUCUUGGACGCUUCGCUUUCUCCUCUAAUACGGCUGGGCAUUUGAGCUACUGCCUUUUUUUUCUCUGUAGUGAAGAGGCAGCCGGCGUGCGUGUGUGUGUGUCUGCCUGCGGGUGUCGCCACGUGCAGCGUCUACACGCGUGUGAGAUGCAGCCCCCCUCGCUUCUUGCGCAGCACCACCACAUCGCCGCAUAUUUAUUUCUCUUUGUGCAGGUGCGAGACUCACCCUCGCGUGCGCCGACGCACUUGCAACCGCCCAUCCACACACACGCAAACAGGCGCACAGGUCGGUUGUGCGGUGCAUCCGCCCCCCCUCCCCCCGUUGAUCGGGGCCUCUACUUACGGAGCGAGACAUAACGGAGAGGGCCGCUUAACGUGCGCUUUUGUGUCUUCUACCCCUCUCUGCGUGCAUGUGUUUCUGAGCGUGUGCCCACACCACGCCCUCCCUUCCAUUUCCCUCCUCCCCCUUCCCGUCAUCCGUCCAUAUUUCUUCAUCUCCUUUAUUGCAUAUUGUGUGUGUGUGGCUUCUCUCUUUUCUGUUUUCUCUCUCUGUUCCCCCACCGCCAUACUCAUCUGCUCUUGUUCCUCGUCUCCCUCCCUCGCUGCUCUCGCUUCCCCCCGUAUUUUGUGUCUCGCGCUUCUUCGCUUGGGCUGCAUCUACAUGCACACAUAGACAUAUCUAUAUGCACACCUCUCUAUACGUAUACGUAUAUCUAUAUAUAUAUAUAUAUAUAUGUAUGCAUGCAUGCGCCUGCAUGUAUGACUUCGUUUUCUUUUCGCUGCUCGCAUGUGCUGUGUGUGUGUGUGUGUGCUCUUCGCUGCCCCUCCUUCCCUCUCCGCGUCUCUUUCUUUGUUUAGGCUCGAUACGCUUACGUUUGACGCCUCUGCUGAUCUCUCUACGUCCCCGCAUCAUCCUCACUCUCGCCCUCACGCGUCAACUGCGUUGCGCGGGGGCGUCUAUCUGCACGUGUGCCAGACCCCUCCCUCACCCACACACGGACGCCGAGGCAGCGGGAGAGCGGAAAGUGAAGCGCCCCCGCCGCGUGCCCACCCCUUAACGGCUUGACUGCAGAGGAAGGAGAGCACACCGGCACACGCACACAAGUACACAUCAGCGCCGCUCUCUUCCCCCCCGAUUUUGUUCCUUUUCGUUUCUGUCGGUCAUCUGCGUCUCCGCUUUUUUUGGUCGGCAUGCGAGACGCGGCAGCAACGGAACGCGAGCGGCUGCCGACUCCGGCGGACGGCGACGUGGACAGUCUGUACGAGGAUGGCACUGAGGCGGAGACGGCGAAGCAGAGGAGCACCGUCAGCACCACAACGUUGUUUCUGGCCCUUCCGUGGCUCGGCUGCACACUGUUCCUGGUCGCCGUUCUCCUCUACGUGAACGUCCACACCUUCUCCAUAUGGAGCAGAUUGGUGUCGAUGCCGGGCGGCGUCGUUGCAGACGUCUCUGUGCAACACCGCGACAUGGCCCGCUACACUGUCCUGUUCGUGAGCCUUGCCCUCCUGGCAGUGCACUUGGCCAUCUCGUUCUGUCUCUUCCGCCGCGCCUAUCACGUCUUGUGGGACGUGCAGAUGUCCCUCGUGGAGCUGUCCUUCAUGGUGGACGUGAUCCGGACGCACCAGCACAGUACCUUUUUCUUUGUGGACUGUGUGGAGCGUGCGCAGCGCGUACGGGAAUCGAUGCGGUACUGGGUGAAGGAGUUUUCUGGUUUCAAGGAGAUUGGCGCUGCGGAGAUGGCCGUGAACCAAGUGACACUGCGGCUGAUGACCCGCCCCAGGGAGAGCGCACAGCGACUGGAGUCGCCCGGCGACACGCAGUUGCCGUGCACCGGCUCGGGGACGUCCUCGCCGGUGCAGCUGGCUCGCGGUGGCCGUUUGCCGCCCGACACCACCGCGGCAGCCUUCCGGCUUCCUCAGGAUGCGGCAUGGUCGCCACAUGUGCAAUCGGUGCGCACGGACAGCGCCCAUGCCGAUCCUGGCCCUAGCCGGCAGCUGGCCGGCCACCACAGCGGCUCUCGCCGCUCCCUGUCGUUUACCACGGAGAUCGGCAUCGCGCAGGUGCCUUUCGAGGUAACGCUCAAGCGGCGCCACGUGGCGCUUCUUCUCCUCAGCUUUCUCACCUAUCGGGAGCUCGUGCGUGCGGAGGCGGAUGAGGCACGGCAGAUCUCCCGCGACUUCAUCGCCGCCGUCAACAUGUGCGCUCAGAGGUACAAGGGGUGCAUCGUCGAGCUGUACAGUGACCGCGCCAUCCUGUCAUGGAACGCCUUCUUCGAGUCUGCCGGCAACUACGCCCAGACAUGCGCACAGUGCGGGGAGUGCUUCCAUGAUAGGUUUGUGCGCAGAUUCUCCCCCGAGAGCGGCGCGUACUUCAGCACUGCCGGCUACACGGGUCACAUUGUGUGCGGCACCACGACGGAGAAGUCGCUCCUGCUUCAUGGUCAGCACGUCUCGAUGCUGCGCGGGCUCCCGACGCUGCUCGAGAUGCGGUACUGCGCAUAUGUGUGGCUCGGCACCCCACCACCGGCGUGCACGAGUUCGCCGUUGUCGUGGACGCGGAUUGGUGCCGUGCGGGCCGGAGCCGACUUCUCUGUUGAUCUACAUGCCAUGCGGCGCACAUCGGCGGAGCCGCUGCCGGCCGCCAUGGUGUGGCACAUGCCCCAGUGGACGACAUUCGGUGACGAGCGCGCCGUUCGCGCAGAGGUGCUGACAAAUGACGGCGCCGCGCGGCUGAAGCAGGACGGGGACACCGCGCCAGUGACGCCCGCGAGCACCGCUGCUGCCACUGCUGCCACCGGCGUCGCUACUGCCUUCCCCAGCUCUCCAUUCCUUUCGUCCCCGCUGUGCCUCCGCGGUGUUGGCACGCCGUACGAGACGUUCUACGAUCGAAGCCACAAUCGCUACCAGCUGUCCAACACAGUGCUUGGGGAGUCCAAGUCGUGCGUCGUGCGCCUCGCCAUCUCGGAGACCGGCAACUUUGUGGCCGUGAAAGAGAUCAAGAUAGAACGCGGAGACGUCAAGCCCAUUCGCCGGCGCCGCUAUCAGCGCGAGAAUCGGAUUAUCGUGACACGAGGCGAGAAGCCGCAGUGGAUGAAUGAGGUGGAGAUUAUGGAGCGGCAUCGGCACACGUGUAUCGUUGCCUACAUCUCCUUCGUGGAGGCGGAGGACAAGCUGCGUAUUGUCAUGGAGUACGUCGGCGGCGGCAACUUGCUGAAAUUUGCCUCCUCGUCGCGCGGCGCGGAAGGGGAGGGGCCGCCAAUGGCGGUGCUGCUGCGCAACGUUGUAGAGGGGCUUAAGUUCCUGCAUCAGAAGGGCAUCGUGCACGGUGACAUCAAGCCGCAGAAUGUGCUGGUGCCAGACUCCGGGCCGUGCAAGAUCGCCGACUUUGGCAUCUCUCGCAGGGCCACCACUGCCGUCACCAGCGCGAUUGAAGGAACGCCGUUCUACAUGUCUCCCGAGGCGACGCGCGGGGAGGUCACAGCGGCGUGCGAUAUUUGGAGCUUUGGCAUCAUGAUGGCGCAGGUGCUCACGGGCCGCUUGCCGUACGACGCAUCCGUGCGCGACUACUACUUGGUAAGCCAGUUCAUGUGCAACAAGGACGUGAAGCGAGAGUUGCACACGCCGCUGAAGAAACCCGCCCUCGACGUCUUCCUCGCGUGCACAGAGUACGACCCAGGGAAGCGCAAAACGGCCAAGGACCUACUGAAGAUGCCGUACUUCACCGCCCACGCUGCGAGCAGCACCGAAGAUGCGUAGGGCGAGGAGGAAAUCGGGCAACGUACCUGCCCCUGCCCCCGAUCCGUGUACUCUUCGCCAUUCUAUAUGUCUGUGCGUUUGUGUGUGUGGCGUGGGUGGGAGCGUGUGUGCGAGGGGAUACCCCUCUCCGCUGUGUCUCUUCUUGCGCCUUCCGUCCCCUCGCACGCAAGCUGGACAUCGGCGUUAGAAGAAGAGGUGCUGGGAUGGGCGGAAAGGUGCCGUGAUGCUGUCGUCACCAUCGGAGGGAGAGGGAGGGGGAUCGUAGCAGCUGCUGAACGCGACGCCGCACCGCCUCUCUCCUCCCUCCCUUCCUUGGAUGCAGCUUGUCCCGGGUGCAGCGACACCACUGUGAUGGCGAAUUCGCGCCGGCUGCCGGGGCUUCGGGUGCGCCUAUCCCCACGCCGACAGCGCUGCAUCUGACACUGCUGUCCACAACCGACGACUGUAGCGCCUGUGCGCCAUGGUGCGUCUUUGCUACACUCUCCGCGGAGCACACUCGAGCGCGCUUGUAUGUGUGCGUGUGCCGCUCAUUCCUCCCCACGGGCGCUCCAUCAAACACCCCUCCCCGCCUCCCCUCCCUCCCCCUCUCCGUGGCGGCAAG